UACGGAGGUGACUAGCGGUGUUCGGAAUUACUGGGCGUAAAGCGCGCUGAGGCGGAUUAGUCAGUCAGAGGUGAAAUCCCAGGGCUCAACCCUGGAACUGCCUUUGAUACUGCUAGUCUUGAGUUCGAGAGAGGUGAGUGAAAUUCCGAGUGUAGAGGUGAAAUUCGUAGAUAUUCGGAGGAACACCAGUGGCGAAGGCGGCUCACUGGCUCGAUACUGACGCUGAGGUGCGAAAGCGUGGGGAGCAAACAGG
RNAcentral lists this unclassified non-coding RNA (253 nucleotides) under uncultured Rhodobacterales bacterium. RNAcentral describes it as "contains 16S-23S intergenic spacer region". It matches the Rfam family "Bacterial small subunit ribosomal RNA", at positions 524 to 776 of the family's 1533-position model. The record is from RNAcentral. Lineage: Bacteria; Pseudomonadati; Pseudomonadota; Alphaproteobacteria; Rhodobacterales.